UCCUUGAACUGCUGGUAGCGAGACAG
RNAcentral lists this non-coding RNA (26 nucleotides) under Cricetulus griseus (Chinese hamster). Lineage: Eukaryota; Metazoa; Chordata; Mammalia; Rodentia; Cricetidae. The record is from RNAcentral.